CCUACGGGAGGCAGCAGUAAGGAAUAUUGGGCAAUGGAGGCAACUCUGACCCAGCCAUGCCGCGUGAAGGAUGACUGCCCUAUGGGUUGUAAACUUCUUUUGUAUGGGAAUAAACCUCGGUACGUGUACCGAGCUGAAUGUACCAUAAGAAUAAGCAUCGGCUAACUCCGUGCCAGCAGCCGCGGUAAUACGGAGGAUGCAAGCGUUAUCCGGAUUUAUUGGGUUUAAAGGGUGCGUAGGCGGGAUUGUAAGUCAGUGGUGAAAUCCUUCAGCUCAACUGAAGAACUGCCAUUGAUACUGCAGACCUAGAGUACAUUUGAAGUGGGCGGAAUGUGUCAUGUAGCGGUGAAAUGCUUAGAGAUGACACAGAACACCAAUUGCGUAGGCAGCUCACUAAACUGUAACUGACGCUGAGCACGAAGACGUGGAGUACAACAGAUAGUAUACCUACGUAGUACGACGACCGUAACUAUAGAUCACUCGUAUGUUGGUCG
RNAcentral lists this ribosomal RNA (494 nucleotides) under uncultured bacterium. Its description in RNAcentral is "bacterial SSU rRNA". It matches the Rfam family "Bacterial small subunit ribosomal RNA", at positions 338 to 830 of the family's 1533-position model. The record is from RNAcentral.